RNAcentral lists this long non-coding RNA (199 nucleotides) under Gossypium barbadense (sea-island cotton). Its description in RNAcentral is "long non-coding RNA (GBAR_LNC007409)". The record is from RNAcentral. Lineage: Eukaryota; Viridiplantae; Streptophyta; Magnoliopsida; Malvales; Malvaceae.
AUCCUUCCAACCUAUCCAAAUUCCACCUGAAAAUCCUCGUGCUUCAACCCAAUGUGAAUUCUGGAAUCCUAAGUUUGCAAUUAUCUCAUAUGUUCUACAGCCACUGACUCUUUUUUUAGCAAACUAACGACAUCGGGCUUGUAUUCCAUACUGUACUCUCUAAAAAUGUGCGAAAACUUUGCACUUGCGCACUCUUGAC